UUUCCGUAGGUGAACCUGCGGAGGGAUCGUUACUGAGUGAGGGCCCCUCGGGGUCCAACCUCCCACCCGUGUUUAACGAACCUUGUUGCUUCGGCGGGCCCGCCUCACGGCCGCCGGGGGGCAUCUGCCCCCGGGCCCGCGCCCGCCGAAGCCACCUGUGAACGCUGUCUGAAGUAUGCAGUCUGAGACAAUUAUUAAAUUAAUUAAAACUUUCAACAACGGAUCUCUUGGUUCCG
RNAcentral lists this unclassified non-coding RNA (236 nucleotides) under plant metagenome. Its description in RNAcentral is "partial contains small subunit ribosomal RNA, internal transcribed spacer 1, and 5.8S ribosomal RNA". The record is from RNAcentral.